RNAcentral lists this ribosomal RNA (430 nucleotides) under uncultured bacterium. Its description in RNAcentral is "bacterial SSU rRNA". It matches the Rfam family "Bacterial small subunit ribosomal RNA", at positions 354 to 776 of the family's 1533-position model. The record is from RNAcentral. RNAcentral also lists the same sequence under 2 other names.
GUAGGGAAUCUUCCACAAUGGACGCAAGUCUGAUGGAGCAACGCCGCGUGAGUGAAGAAGGGUUUCGGCUCGUAAAGCUCUGUUGGUAGUGAAGAAAGAUAGAGGUAGUAACUGGCCUUUAUUUGACGGUAAUUACCUAGAAAGUCACGGCUAACUACGUGCCAGCAGCCGCGGUAAUACGUAGGUGGCAAGCGUUGUCCGGAUUUAUUGGGCGUAAAGCGAGUGCAGGCGGUUCAAUAAGUCUGAUGUGAAAGCCUUCGGCUCAACCGGAGAAUUGCAUCAGAAACUGUUGAACUUGAGUGCAGAAGAGGAGAGUGGAACUCCAUGUGUAGCGGUGGAAUGCGUAGAUAUAUGGAAGAACACCAGUGGCGAAGGCGGCUCUCUGGUCUGCAACUGACGCUGAGGCUCGAAAGCAUGGGUAGCGAACAGG